Molecule: small RNA, 292 nt
Organism: Mycobacterium sherrisii
Lineage: Bacteria; Bacillati; Actinomycetota; Actinomycetes; Mycobacteriales; Mycobacteriaceae
Rfam family: 5' ureB small RNA
Source: Rfam
CGGACAUCAGCUGUGGGCAGAUCAGGUGGACGUGACAGUCCACGGCGCCCGCGGUCACGAUUCGCCCGUUGCCGGCGAUGAUCUCGGUGGACGGCCCCACCACCAGCCCCGGAUGCACGCCGGUCAUGAUGUCGGGAUUGCCGGCCUUCCCGAUGGCGACGAUGCGGCCAUCGCGAAUACCGAUGUCGCCCUUAAUGAUUCCCCAAUGGUCGAUUAUCACCGCCCCGGUGAUCACGGUGUCGGGCGCGCCGUCGGCCCGAGUGGCGCGGCCUUGGCCCAUCGACUCGCGCAG